This 119-nucleotide ribosomal RNA is filed under the name Betta splendens (Siamese fighting fish). Lineage: Eukaryota; Metazoa; Chordata; Actinopteri; Anabantiformes; Osphronemidae. The record is from RNAcentral.
GCUUAAGGCCAUACCACCCUGAGCACGCCUGAUCUCGUCUGAUCUCGGAAGCUAAGCAGGGUCGGGCCUGGUUAGUACUUGGAUGGGAGACCGCCUGGGAAUACCAGGUGCUGUAAGCU